RNAcentral lists this ribosomal RNA (35 nucleotides) under Talaromyces pinophilus. RNAcentral's name for it is "partial 18S ribosomal RNA". Lineage: Eukaryota; Fungi; Ascomycota; Eurotiomycetes; Eurotiales; Trichocomaceae. The record is from RNAcentral.
UGAUUCCGUAGGUGAACCUGCGGAAGGAUCAUUAA